UCAACACACAACAUAAAAAUAAAAAGCAUAAAAUAAAAACUUACAAUUUAAAAACAAAAACAUCCAAUUUAAAACUAGAUCCCGCUAGAGUUGAAAGCCAAAUAAAAUAGAUGGGUUUUAAGACGAGCUUUAAAAGUGGACAGUGAAGGGGCCUCCCUGACCUGCAAAGGCAAGUUGUUCCAUAAUUUGGGGCCCAUGACAGAGAAAGCCCUGUCCCCUCUGAGCUUCCUUCUUGAUCUCGGUACCUCCAAAAGCAGCUGAUCUGCAGACCUAAGAGACCGAUAAGGUAUAUAUGGGUGAAGAAGCUCAGAGAGGUAAGCCGGGGCAAGAUUAUUUAAUGAUUUAAAAACAAACAUAAGAAUUUUAAAAUGAAUCCUAAAAUAUACAGGCAGCCAGUGAAGUGAGGCCAGGACAGGGGUCACGUGUUCCCUCUUUCGAGUUCCUUUUCCAACGAAAAGUGU
Molecule: long non-coding RNA, 461 nt
Organism: Xiphophorus couchianus (Monterrey platyfish)
Lineage: Eukaryota; Metazoa; Chordata; Actinopteri; Cyprinodontiformes; Poeciliidae
Exons: 3
Source: RefSeq, a predicted model, not a curated record